UGAAACAGAAGGCUUGAUUGUGGUUAAACAAAUAUUAAAAUGCCAUUCUUUUCUAAAUGAAUAAAUGUGAUAGGAACAGAAUAGCAAAGUCUCUCCUGAUGAGCAACCAUAAAAUACAAAAUCCUCAAAUAACCCCCACGCUCGGCCGAAUGAGCAAACAGCAACACAGAAUGCCUUCCCUUUGCCUCCUUGCUUAAGGCAUCGUAUGGCUGACCGAACGGAUAAUGUGACGGGUGCAUCCAUUCCUCAUUCCCAGCCUGAACUCCGGUGGCUAAUUGUCAUCAACAUCAUCACUGCCACGACUACAACAGCAGCGACCUGCCCAACCUUGGGCAUCGUGGGUGGCGUCAUGUCAUUCACGGCCCCACUGGUUCGGUGUAAAAAUCAGAACGUACAACAGCCUUCUGCUGAGCCACGUGGGUGCUGCUUUAUGGAAGAUCCUCCUGCCUAGGUGCAUGAAUGCUCUCAAUCACACAGCAAAAUACUCAACUGUUGGCC
Long non-coding RNA from Caretta caretta (loggerhead turtle), 498 nucleotides. RefSeq lists it as uncharacterized. The record is from RefSeq and is a predicted model, not a curated record. Lineage: Eukaryota; Metazoa; Chordata; Testudines; Cheloniidae.